This 489-nucleotide ribosomal RNA is filed under the name uncultured bacterium. Its description in RNAcentral is "partial 16S ribosomal RNA". It matches the Rfam family "Bacterial small subunit ribosomal RNA", at positions 28 to 507 of the family's 1533-position model. The record is from RNAcentral.
GAUGAACGCUAGCUACAGGCUUAACACAUGCAAGUCGAGGGGCAGCAUGAACUUAGCUUGCUAAGUUUGAUGGCGACCGGCGCACGGGUGAGUAACACGUAUCCAACCUGCCGAUGACUCGGGGAUAGCCUUUCGAAAGAAAGAUUAAUACCCGAUGGCAUAGUUCUUCCGCAUGGUAGAGCUAUUAAAGAAUUUCGGUCAUCGAUGGGGAUGCGUUCCAUUAGGUUGUUGGCGGGGUAACGGCCCACCAAGCCUUCGAUGGAUAGGGGUUCUGAGAGGAAGGUCCCCCACAUUGGAACUGAGACACGGUCCAAACUCCGACGGGAGGCAGCAGUGAGGAAUAUUGGGCAAUGGACGAGAGUCUGAACCAGCCAAGUAGCGUGAAGGAUGACUGCCCUAUGGGUUGUAAACUUCUUUUAUACGGGAAUAAAGUGAGGCACGUGUGCCUUUUUGUAUGUACCGUAUGAAUAAGGAUCGGCUAACUCCGUG